Molecule: ribosomal RNA, 253 nt
Filed under: uncultured bacterium
Lineage: Bacteria
Description: partial 16S ribosomal RNA
Rfam family: Bacterial small subunit ribosomal RNA
Source: RNAcentral
UACGUAGGGUGCGAGCGUUGUCCGGAAUUAUUGGGCGUAAAGAGCUCGUAGGCGGUUUGUCGCGUCGACUGUGAAAACCCGAGGCUUAACCUCGGGCCUGCAGUCGAUACGGGCAGACUAGAGUUCGGUAGGGGAGACGUGGAAUUCCUGGUGUAGCGGUGAAAUGCGCAGAUAUCAGGAGGAACACCGGUGGCGAAGGCGGGUCUCUGGGCUGACACUGACGCUCAUGCACGAAAGCGUGGGGAGAAACAGG